RNAcentral lists this unclassified non-coding RNA (310 nucleotides) under plant metagenome. RNAcentral describes it as "partial contains 5.8S ribosomal RNA, internal transcribed spacer 2, and large subunit ribosomal RNA". The stretch from base 1 to 105 matches the Rfam family "5.8S ribosomal RNA", at positions 50 to 154 of the family's 154-position model. The record is from RNAcentral.
GAAAUGCGAUAAGUAAUGUGAAUUGCAGAAUUCAGUGAAUCAUCGAAUCUUUGAACGCACAUUGCGCCCCUUGGUAUUCCAUGGGGCAUGCCUGUUCGAGCGUCAUUUGUACCCUCAAGCUCUGCUUGGUGUUGGGUGUUUGUCCCCGUCUCCGCGCGUGGACUCGCCCCAAAGUGAUUGGCAGCCGACGUACUGGUCCCGGAGCGCAGCACAUGUCGCGCAAACGAGUGCCUUGGUACGGCGGCGUCCAUAAGCCCCUCUCUCACGCUCUUGACCUCGGAUCAGGUAGGGAUACCCGCUGAACUUAAGC